UCAGUAUAAACGAUUCUAUCGUGAAACCGCGAACGGCUCAUUAUAACAGCUAUAAUGUACUUGAUCUUGACAAUCCUACAUGGAUAACUGUGGUAAUUCUAGAGCUAAUACAUGCACCAAAGCUCUGCCCCUCGCGGAAAGAGCGCAUUUAUUAGCACAAAACCAAGCGACCUCUCGGGUCGUUUUUUGUUGACUCAGAAUAACUCAGCUGAUCGCAUGUUCUUGCACCGGCGACGUGUCUUUCAAGUAUCUGCCUUAUCAACUUUCGAUGUUAGGGUAUAUGCCUAACAUGGUUAUGACGGGUAACGGAGGAUUAGGGUUUGACUCCGGAGAAGGAGCCUGAGAAAUGGCCACCACAUCCAAGGAUGGCAGCAGGCGCGCAAAUUACCCACUCUCAGUGCGAGGAGGUAGUGACGAAAAAUAACGAGACAAUUCUCUACGAGGCCUGUCAUCGGAAUGGGUACAAUUUAAA
RNAcentral lists this ribosomal RNA (472 nucleotides) under unidentified nematode Sourhope farm. Its description in RNAcentral is "SSU rRNA". It matches the Rfam family "Eukaryotic small subunit ribosomal RNA", at positions 60 to 529 of the family's 1831-position model. The record is from RNAcentral. Lineage: Eukaryota; Metazoa; Nematoda.